CAGGGAAUGAGGGAGGAGAGCUGCUAGAGAAGAGAUAACGGCAAAAAAAAAAAAAGGAAAAAAGCCUAAAUACAGACAGGUUUACUUCCACCUCUGACAGGAAAUCAGAAAUCAUCACUGUGUGCAGCUCCAUGGCCCUCUCCAGAGUGAGGAUGAAGACCAGGUGCUGGAACACCUCUACCAGCCCCCAGUGCCCGUUUUCCACCUCAUCUUGGGAUGCUGGUAACCUCCAGAGCACGCCCAGGCUGGCUCAGGUAAGUUAUGUCAGCACUGACCUAUCCAUCUUCCAUGCUCCAAUUCUGUCCUUUAUUAAAGGAGAGUUCUGCUUGGCUAUCCCUCACUCUACAGACACACAGGCUGAGGGGAAAAAGCAGUGGGAAAAGUGCCAAAAUAUCCUGGAGCUGUCCAGAGCAAAAUUACAAAAUGAAUCUAUGGUGCCAGGGAUAUCCUCGGUCUGAAACAAAACGGUUGGUGAAAAACAGCAUGUUUUAUUCAUAGUGCUGUAUUUCAAAGUAUAUUUUAAAAUAUCUUCUUAAUAUUCCUCCAGAAGCCUAACACAGCACUUGAGCAUUCUGCAUAUCCCAUUGCUCAGUCAGGAGUUAUGAACCACACCCUGACUCAGCAGGAGCAGCAGGAAUCCAAUCCCAUGGAGUGAACAGGCACUGACUGCUCAGCUUGGCAGAUCCUGGGGCAUCAAAGGGAGCUGCUCUUGUCCACUCUUUGCUUUUGCUUUCCAGCAAAAAGUGCUGGUGUGAUGUAUGCCAGCCUGAAGGGGACCCUGGGCUGAAGAAGAAUUAAGAGUUUAUAUCCAAAGCAUUAGCAUCAGCAUUUGUAAGCGCCACCUCAGAGGGUUCCUGGUGCCUGUUUCACUCCUUUGUAUGGAAUUAUUCUUGCAUGGCAUUUGUAAUUGUUCCUGUCAGGAACAUGGAAACCUUGCACAUAUUCAGCAAUGUGCCUUGGAGAGCAGGUAACCUUGGAGAUCCAUGGGAUGUGCCCCUGGAUAAUGGAAAUUCUGCAGAUAGUUCCUGAAACGCUACUUUCCCCCUCACAUGAAAGCUGAAUUCUUUCCAGAGGUAAUGUUUGCCCUUGGCAAAACAAAUUUUGAUACAACAAUGUUUAUAAACAGCACAGGGCACCUGAAAUCCUUCACAUCUGUCAGAUGUCCCAGUACAAAUCUUCCUGCUUUUCAAGCAUGCACAGAGAGAAACGAAGGAAAAACCUCUGAGUGAUGAGGAUCCAAGGAAAUGAAGCAAAAUGGCUUCUUUUAUUGUUUAUAUUUGCAUAUGAAAAUUGAUUUCUUUUUCUGGAAUUGCAGUUUCCAAUCUCAUUGUGCCCCUUUCACAUUGGCCAUGAAACAAAAUGUGCUUUUCAGAACAAAAUGAAGAAGGGUUUUCCUCCACAGACCCUUUUCAAAGGUUCUGCCAGUUUUAGGCUGACUCAUCAACCUUUUUUUUUAGCUCAUAAAGCAGAUUCUUUUUCACCUCCAGUAUCUUCAUGAAAGUGUUUUCAUGGAGAACCAAUACAGAAACAAUGUCUGUUCUUUUCAGUUCCAAAUUCCAAAGAGCAACCUGCCUAGAUACUACUACUAAUGAUGAUUAUAGUACUAUUACUACUGCUAUUAGUGAUGCUGAAUUCUAUCUUUCUUUUAUAAUACUAAAAGAGGACUGUAUUGUAUUCCUGUCUUUUCCUUAUAAACAAACACCAUUAGAAUAGAAACCAUUUCCAGUAGUCAUGAAAUUUAGUGAAGCCUUUACCCUACAAAGCAGUGCCUAGCACAGUAGUGUAAAAUAGAAUUAAUUAACAAAAUUAAGCCCUUCUUGCACUCAACAUUAUGUUGCCAGCCUUGGCUAUAGUGCUUAAAAAAUUCAUUAUUUGUUUUUCUCUUUGACAGUGUGAAAUAUUGGCCAGAAGGGUAUUUCCAGGCUUUGCCAGGAGCUGCACCCCAGGACAAGCUGCACUCCUAAAUUCCACAGCAGGGCAGUCCUUUGGCAGCACUCCCUUCAUGACUCACAGUGCUGAGUGUGAAAACAUGUCUUUAUUUUAUGAAAUGCAGUAUUUUAUGCAAUUUAAUUCAUGUGUUUUUACCUAUUGUACAUAUUUUAAUUCAUGUAAUUUUAACGUAUUUCAGCUAACAAGACUUUCACCAAACAAGUUCACUUUGUGUCUCGAGAGCUGUCAGUGAGUGAAUGAAGGGGAAUUAUGCUUAUAAAAAAGAGAUGUUUUAUGAACCUGUUUUAAAUGUUUGUGAAUUACAGAAUCCCAGAAUGGUUUAGGUGGAAGGGACCUUAAAGCCCACCCAGUGGCACCCCCUGCCAUGGGCAGGGACACCUCCCACUAACCCAGGAUACUCCAAGCCCCUCCAGCCUGGUCUUGAAUAUGUAAUAAAUCUCCACAGAUACAGCAAACUCAGUGAUUUGCUUGACCCCCAAAUAAAUAUUAAUAAAUUGAGACAAAGAACGACAUUCAGUGCAGCAUUAUUAGAACAUUUAAUCAGAAUUAAUUUCAUACAGAAGUUUACAAACCACGAAAUGAGAGGAUUUUUAAUAAAACUGCACAGUGUUAGUUUCUACUCAUGCACACUGAGAUUCUCUUCAAAAUUCUUCUAAGUCCCAAAAUGAGUUAUCUGAAAACUACAAAUAUUAUACAAAUAUUAUAUCCCUUCAGGCUAAAGAAAAUAUUCAAGAUAAAAACGGAUGUGAGGUAUCUUUAUCCUCUUAGUCUCAGUUACUAUAAUGGAAUUCAACUAUUUUCUUGUGCAUGAUUUGUCUCCACAAAAAGAAAUAACAAAAUAUCAAAAACUGGGGAAAAGACAGAGUUUCUUCUUACAGAAAUUUUUGUUUGAGGGGUCUGAUUUAUGCCAAGGAAAAAUAUGUCUCUGUCCUCAAGCUCUUUACUCAAAGAAAACCGAGUAACUCCCAGUGGCUGUGGUGCUUCUGUAACAGGAUUUUGUGCUUUCUCAAGCCUCUCUUCCUUCCAGGAUUUUUGAACAGAGUUUUGGGGUUUUUUUGUAGGAAAAAAAGAACACCUUUUUCAAUUAUUGAGCAAAAGUAGAUACAGACAAGGGAAGAUGGCAGAAUUUUUACAUCUUAAUGCAACUUAGUCAUGCCAACAGGGAGGCGGUGGAGUCUCCCUCCGUGAAAGUGGAUGAGAUUCAAAAAAUGAGCCCAGGGAUAUCCAGUCAAAGGCUGGAUUUGAUGACCUCAAUGAUUUUGAAAGGAAACAAGUGGGAAAGCUCAGUGUGAGGGGACACACCAGGUCAAGCCAUCACUGCACACCCAGGGAGUUAAAGCAUUUGGGUAAAUUAAGAGCAAAUAGCACAGUGAAAUCAGACUCCUAGGGGAACAAUCUCAAUUAAUUUUGUUACAGAUCCCUUGAUGGUAUUAGGUUCAUCUCUGCCACCCUUGGACCAGGUUUGAGGUUGAAAGGGGAUUUUCAAGCCACCCAAGUUAGUUUUCCUCAGGAAGGCAAGGUGGUGGAUGGCAGCAUGCUUGGGGACUGAGCAGCACUUUUCAGCUAUUACAGACUAACAGCAUGUUUACUCAGCAGGCUCUUUCUGGAUGAGUUCCAAAGCUACCAGAAAUGGACUUUUGUAAUAAUUUUCUUAAACAUAUUUAAUUAAGGAAAUAGCAGAUGUUUAAAACUGAAGCUGCCACAACCCCCGAACUCCUUGCUUUGGCUAAAACCAUUCAAGCCACUCUCAACAAACAUCUCAUCAGUCUUAAAAACCCUACGUGCAAUUCUGCUGGCUGCAUGCAUUUUAUCCUGUGUUCUCCUGGCUUUUAGCAGAUUUAAUUAGCCUGGUUAUUUUUUGCUGGUUCUCUAAUCCUUAUUUUUCAAGCAAUGACUGUUCAGUUGUGUGAGCAGCUCCUUGCCCAUGCUCUAAAUCCCUGUUUAUGAAAUAUCUGGGUUUAAUGUCUUCCUAAAAGGCACUUAAAUAAUUGCCUUUAAUUUUACAAAGAAAAAUUAGUGGGAAAUAAAUCUUGUGAUGUUUUUGAUAACUGUAGGCAACCAUGUAUUGUAAAUGUGUCUGACCUAAGUGAAAGGUCUCCAAAAGUGAAAUUUGUGUUAUACCAUGUCAUUAAAUUCUGCCAAAUUUAUCUGGGCUUUUCAGGGUAACCCCAAGAUCUGAAAACGGUCCUGAACCUUCAGCUUUAGCUCAGUAGAUUGUAAAUAUGUCAUUUACAGCAUGAUUAUUACAAAAACUCUUCUGAAUGACCGGGGAAAGAGGAAUGUGGUUGUUACUGUUGGAAUCUGAUUUUGGUUUGUAAGGCUGGAGGAAUCUCUCUCUGAAAUGGGGAUGUUUUUCAACAUUUCAGUUUUCUGCUGAAGGAAAACAAGUAAAAGAACCAUUUUAAGCCCAAACUACUUAGUCACAGCAGACCCUUAAAAAGACCAAGUUCUAAAACUCCUGUAGUUUGAAAUUGUUCUACUUUACUCAGAGGAACUGUAUCAACUGAUACCAACAGUGUUACUGCACCACUCUAUUACAGCAGGUACGACCAUCCAAGGAAUUUUUUUACCUGAUUACUUUUUUCUCAUCUAAAAACAACUUCUGAGUUCUGGCUAAACUUUAUAUGUUGUAUUUUCUACUUUAAAAAAACCCUCAAAAAACAACAAAACAAAACAUAGACAAUAGAACAUUUUUUAAAAAUCCAUUUUUAUCAUACUAUAAUUCAGGUAUAGCACAAGAGUGACAGGACAAGGGGGAAUGGCAUCAAGCUGAAGGAGGGCAGGGUUAGAUGGGA
This is a long non-coding RNA of Catharus ustulatus (Swainson's thrush), 4745 nucleotides long. RefSeq lists it as uncharacterized. The transcript has 3 exons. The record is from RefSeq and is a predicted model, not a curated record. Lineage: Eukaryota; Metazoa; Chordata; Aves; Passeriformes; Turdidae.